UACGGAGGGUGCAAGCGUUGUUCGGAAUCACUGGGCGUAAAGCGUACGUAGGCGGUUCGGUAAGUCGGGUGUGAAAGCCCAGAGCUCAACUCUGGAACUGCACCCGAUACUGCCAAACUUGAGUGUGGGAGAGGGAAGCGGAAUUCCUGGUGUAGCGGUGAAAUGCGUAGAUAUCAGGAGGAACACCCGUGGCGAAAGCGGCUUCCUGGCCCAUUACUGACGCUGAGGUACGAAAGCGUGGGGAGCAAACAGG
This 253-nucleotide ribosomal RNA is filed under the name uncultured bacterium. RNAcentral describes it as "partial 16S ribosomal RNA". It matches the Rfam family "Bacterial small subunit ribosomal RNA", at positions 524 to 776 of the family's 1533-position model. The record is from RNAcentral.